AAUUCUCAACUACACUGACUUUGAAUUGGUGUGGCUUGGAUUUGGGGGGAAAAUUGUUGUGGGCUUUUUGUAUAGUCUGCUCCCCUGAAAUUGAUUAGCGGUACCUUUGUGGAACUGUCUACAGGUGUGAUAAUUAUCUACAUCCUGGACAUCUGCUUAAUGCUGCUUUCUAAACCUCUUCUGUAUUGACCA
This 192-nucleotide unclassified non-coding RNA is filed under the name uncultured Inocybe. RNAcentral describes it as "sequence contains ITS2". Lineage: Eukaryota; Fungi; Basidiomycota; Agaricomycetes; Agaricales; Cortinariaceae. The record is from RNAcentral.